CCAGUUGUUCACAACUUUGUCUGCAUCUAGAGUCACUUGUGAAGUUUUUAGAAGAAAUACUAAUAAAAUUAACAUCUUAGAAAUUUGUACUUAAUUGAUCAAUGGUGGGGAGGUCAGAAACCUCCAUGGAGCAGAAGGGCAAAAGCUUGCUUGAUCCUGAUUUUCAGUAUGAAUACAUACUGUGAAAUCAGGGCCUCAUGAUCCUUCUGACCUUUUGGAUUUUAAGCAGGAGGUGUCAGAAAAUUCACCACAGGGAUAACUGGCUUGUGGUGGCCAAGUGUUCAUAGUGAUGUCGCUUUUUGAUCCUUUAAUGUUGACUCUUCCUAUCAUUGUGAAGCAGAAUUCACCAAGUGUUGGAUUUUUCACUCACUAAUAGGGAGUGUGAGCUGGGUUUAGACCGUCAUGAGGUGGUC
Molecule: non-coding RNA, 413 nt
Filed under: Ictidomys tridecemlineatus (thirteen-lined ground squirrel)
Lineage: Eukaryota; Metazoa; Chordata; Mammalia; Rodentia; Sciuridae
Description: Spermophilus tridecemlineatus (thirteen-lined ground squirrel) Eukaryotic large subunit ribosomal RNA
Rfam family: Eukaryotic large subunit ribosomal RNA
Source: Rfam by way of RNAcentral